RNAcentral lists this ribosomal RNA (519 nucleotides) under uncultured bacterium. RNAcentral's name for it is "partial 16S ribosomal RNA". It matches the Rfam family "Bacterial small subunit ribosomal RNA", at positions 28 to 507 of the family's 1533-position model. The record is from RNAcentral.
GACGAACGCUGGCGGCGUGCCUAAUACAUGCAAGUCGAGCGAGUCUGCCUUGAAUAUCGGAGUGCUUGCACUCUGUGAAACAAGAUACAGGCUAGCGGCGGACGGGUGAGUAACACGUGGGUAACCUGCCCAAUAGAUCGGGAUAACACCUGGAAACAGAUGCUAAUACCGGAUAACAACAGAUGAUGCCUAUCAACUGUGUAAAAGAUGGUUCUGCUAUCACUCGUGGAUGGACCUGCGGUGCAUUAGCUAGUUGGUAGGGUAACGGCCUACCAAGGCGAUGAUGCAUAGCCGAGUUGAGAGACUGAUCGGCCACAUUGGGACUGAGACACGGCCCAAACUCCUACGGGAGGCAGCAGUAGCGAAUCUUCCACAAUGGACGCAAGUCUGAUGGAGCAACGCCGCGUGAGUGAAGAAGGGUUUCGGCUCGUAAAGCUCUGUUGUUGGUGAAGAAGGACAGGGGUAGUAACUGACCUUUGUUUGACGGUAAUCAAUUAGAAAGUAACGGCUAACUACGUG